RNAcentral lists this unclassified non-coding RNA (253 nucleotides) under uncultured Parcubacteria group bacterium. Its description in RNAcentral is "contains 16S-23S intergenic spacer region". It matches the Rfam family "Bacterial small subunit ribosomal RNA", at positions 524 to 776 of the family's 1533-position model. The record is from RNAcentral.
UACGAGUGCCCCAAGCGUUGUCCGGAAUCAUUGGGCGUAAAGGGUGCGCAGGCGGUUGUGUUAGUCUUUUGUUAAAGCCCAGGGCUUAACCCUGGAACCGCAAAAGAAACGGCACAACUUGAGGGCGCGAGAGGUCUACGGAACUCACGGUGUAGGGGUGAAAUCCGUUGAUAUCGUGGGGAACACCAAAUGCGAAGGCAGUAGACUGGCGCGUUCCUGACGCUCAGGCACGAAAGCGUGGGUAGCGAACGGG